This 460-nucleotide ribosomal RNA is filed under the name uncultured bacterium. RNAcentral describes it as "partial 16S ribosomal RNA". It matches the Rfam family "Bacterial small subunit ribosomal RNA", at positions 338 to 795 of the family's 1533-position model. The record is from RNAcentral.
CCUACGGGAGGCAGCAGUGAGGAAUAUUGGUCAAUGGACGCAAGUCUGAACCAGCCAUGCCGCGUGCAGGAUGACGGCUCUAUGAGUUGUAAACUGUUUUUGUACAAGGGUAAACCCCGAUACGUGUAUCGGGUUGACAGUCUCGUACGAAUAAGGAUCGGCUAACUCCGUGCCAGCAGCCGCGGUAAUACGGAGGAUCCGAGCGUUAUCCGGAUUUAUUGGGUUUAAAGGGUGCGUAGGCGGUUUAAUAAGUUAGAGGUGAAAUGUCGGGGCUCAACCCCGAAACUGCCUCUAAUACUGUUGUACUAGAGUAUAGUUGCGGUAGGCGGAAUAAGUGAAGUAGGGGUGAAAUGCUUAGAGAUAACGUAGAACUCCGAUAGCGAAGGCAGCUUACCAGACUGCGACUGACGCUGAUGCACGAGAGCGUGGGGAGCGAACAGGAUUAGAUACCCUAGUAGUC